GAGGGUAUAGCUCAAGCGGUAGAGCGCAUGCUUAGCAUGCACAAGGUCUGGGGUUCAAUCCUCAGUACCUCCU
Transfer RNA from Camelus ferus (Wild Bactrian camel), 73 nucleotides. It matches the Rfam family "tRNA". From Rfam's summary of the family: Transfer RNA (tRNA) molecules are approximately 80 nucleotides in length. Their secondary structure includes four short double-helical elements and three loops (D, anti-codon, and T loops). Further hydrogen bonds mediate the characteristic L-shaped molecular structure. tRNAs have two regions of fundamental functional importance: the anti-codon, which is responsible for specific mRNA codon recognition, and the 3' end, to which the tRNAs corresponding amino acid is attached (by aminoacyl-tRNA synthetases). tRNAs cope with the degeneracy of the genetic code in two manners: having more than one tRNA (with a specific anti-codon) for a particular amino acid; and 'wobble' base-pairing, i.e. permitting non-standard base-pairing at the 3rd anti-codon position. NCBI's taxonomy places the organism in Eukaryota, Metazoa, Chordata, Mammalia, Artiodactyla, Camelidae. The record is from Rfam.